Molecule: ribosomal RNA, 253 nt
Filed under: Mediterraneibacter faecis JCM 15917
Lineage: Bacteria; Bacillati; Bacillota; Clostridia; Lachnospirales; Lachnospiraceae
Description: [Ruminococcus] faecis JCM 15917 partial 16S ribosomal RNA
Rfam family: Bacterial small subunit ribosomal RNA
Source: RNAcentral
UACGUAUGGUGCAAGCGUUAUCCGGAUUUACUGGGUGUAAAGGGAGCGUAGACGGAGUGGCAAGUCUGAUGUGAAAACCCGGGGCUCAACCCCGGGACUGCAUUGGAAACUGUCAAUCUAGAGUACCGGAGAGGUAAGCGGAAUUCCUGGUGUAGCGGUGAAAUGCGUAGAUAUUAGGAGGAACACCAGUGGCGAAGGCGGCUUACUGGACGGUAACUGACGUUGAGGCUCGAAAGCGUGGGGAGCAAACAGG